GAUGAAGAACGUAGCGAAAUGCGAUAAGUAAUGUGAAUUGCAGAAUUCAGUGAAUCAUCGAAUCUUUGAACGCACAUUGCGCCCACCAGUAUUCUGGCGGGCAUGCCUGUUCGAGCGUCAUUUCAACCCUCAGGGCCCUUUUGGACCUGGCGUUGGGGCUCGGCCGCUACCCUGCGGCCGUCCCCGAAAGAUAGUGGCGGUCUCGCUGUAGCCUCCUCUGCGUAGUAGUUACAUCUCGCACUGGAACGCGGCGCGGCCAUGCCGUUAAACACCCCACUUCUCAAGGUUGACCUCGGAUCAGGUAGGAAUACCCGCUGAACUUAAGCAUAUCAAUAAGCGGAGGA
This 344-nucleotide unclassified non-coding RNA is filed under the name soil metagenome. RNAcentral describes it as "partial contains 5.8S ribosomal RNA, internal transcribed spacer 2, and large subunit ribosomal RNA". The stretch from base 1 to 120 matches the Rfam family "5.8S ribosomal RNA", at positions 35 to 154 of the family's 154-position model. The record is from RNAcentral.